This 1464-nucleotide long non-coding RNA is filed under the name Rattus norvegicus (Norway rat). Its description in RNAcentral is "long non-coding RNA NONRATT012285". Lineage: Eukaryota; Metazoa; Chordata; Mammalia; Rodentia; Muridae. The record is from RNAcentral.
GAGAAUAAUUCUUUCCUAAUGGGGCUGAAGAAUUAAUUUAGAAAUUAUGUUGAAAGGUACUGACUGCAGAGAAAGUAGUUAAUAAGCAUUCUUCACCAACUCCCACAGCUCUGGUCUCAUUGAUACAUCAAGAACAUAACCUUUUCUUCCUCCAAAUGAUUGUGUUAUAAAAAGAUGAAAAUAACUAUAUAAUAUGCAAAAGCAUCUGGCAGAGCUACAUGUUUUAGUGACUUUAUAGCAUUAAGGAGUUAGCAUAGAGACAGACUUGACUUCCUAAUCAAACAAUUCAUCCACUAUGGCAAACUGUCGUUAUUGAUCUCAUGCAUUCAGUGCUCCCGUUCCUGUCAAAAUUUUAACUUCUCUUUGAAAAAAUGAUUACACUUAAUUUCAGAAGAGUUUGACAGACUGUCUUAUGUCUGAGGAGCAAUCGGCAUUGUUUGGGACAGCGAGAAGAGCUGACUUCAUUACCUUCUCACCACUGCAACAGCAGGGUCCAAGGAAACAAGCCAGGGAGAACUGCUCGUCACUCAGUCCUUGGCAUAGGGUUCGUCUUUUUGGUGAUCCCACUGAGUGAAUCUGCAUUGGUUGACAAGUCUCCUCUGCAGACAUUUUUUAGAUGAAAAAAGCUAUUUUGAAAUAUUUUAAGAGCCUGGAGGCAAAAGCAAAUUUUAAAAUUGCCUCUCUCCCCUCCCCAUCUUCUGAUUACCCAGGAAGGAGAAGUGUUAUCUGUGUAAGUCCCUGGUUCCACUUGGGGAGUAUCAGUGUCAUGUAGAGACCUGUCUCCAGCUUGCAAAUGUUGACAGAGAAAAUGGGACUGAAGGGAUGAGGAGACCAAGAGUGUGUGCACCUGUGGAGGGGAAACCGAAGCAGCGACUGAGGAAGUCAAAGGAAAAAGGUCAUAGUCAAGGCCGACUUCUCAGUCUCUUGGAGCAGUCUGAGCACAGGACCACAGGUGUAGAGAGAACCCCCAAGUGUUCCGAAGCAGGAGCCUUCAGGUAAGCUGAGGAUGCCCUCACCAGAUGUGGAAGAGGCUGGCUGCAGCAGAGAGAGGCAGAGUUCGCUCUCAAAGCUCAACUUAAAUGAGUCUCCCAUCAAGUCUUUUGUUCCUGUUUCAGAAGCUACAAAUUGCUUAGUGGACUUUAAAGGCCAAUUUGCUUUCCGGUCACAAACCAAAUCAGGCAGAGGAAGGAGGAGAAAAUCUUGAAUUUCUUGAGACUGGAGGAUGACCAGAAUGAUUGUUGUUGGAUUGGUCAUGUUCAUUAAUUAUUGUGGUCUCCAGUUUGCUGUGAGAGUUCUGACCCUGUUGUUUUCACCACCAGCGUCUGUUCAGCACCCUGAUUUUUAUGUUUUAUAAGAUCUCUUCAGACAACUGUGAAUAGUAUUCUGUUUUACAACAGUCUGUUUGAAUUUGCUUAUAGUUAAAAUUUAAAUAUAUUUAUCUUUGUAUGAAAUCUUUUUUCAAUA